AGACGUAAGAGUGCGGUACAAACCACUGAAAAUUUUCGGUACCAUGUUUUCUUCUUCUUGUUGGGCAGAAGUUUAACGAGGGGGCUAGUUAUUACCAUUUUGCGGUUGUUUUUUACGCAUUGGUUUACCCCUCCUGACAAAAUUUUGACAGUUUCGCCCGUUUCGCCUGUUUUGCUCCUCCGACUCCGUCACUACCGCCGCGGCAAAAGUUUGUUGUUGUUGUGCUCCCAUUUUAACUUUUCAGCAGAAUCGAUUGUUGGAGUUUUUUGUAUUAUUGUUCUUGAUUUCGUAAUGCUAGCGUAUAAAAGCGCCAGGUUAAGCGGUUCUGGAGUUGCAAUUUCUCGCGUAUUCACAGCAGACGUCGCAGCAAGAGUAUGUUCCAGCCGUAACCGUGCCGUAUGCCACAUCAUCUGCACAUCCCUGCCGUAGAUUCGAUCAAAUCCCUGAUCGUUGGUGCCCUCCCGGGUAACCGCAACACCUGUAGCGAACUGGCAUUAUUGAUGGGGUGUAAGCCACGCCACAGCAAGAACAUUCUGCUGAUGAUUCACCAUAAAAAAAUAAUCUACAAAAUAGCCAGGGAAGGCAAAUUUUACGAGACCCGUGAGGAUGUGGUCGCUGUGAAGCCUGGAGAGGCACUUUGGAAAUAUCGACGGGAACUUCGAAAAGGCCGACGUUGGGGUGGAGGAAACGAGGGAGAACACGUUAAAAAACUGAUAAAUCACAGCCAUUCAUGACAACCAUGGCUGAUAUUCAUCACGCUACGAGACCAAAUCGUACUUAGCAAGCUGAAACUAUUGCGCCGUCAUUAGCUUGCACAAUCGUCACGUCUCCAACGGGGUUGAAUUUUAUCGAAAUAUGUAUAUUAUUGAACAUUUGAUACAUAAAAUUGCGAGGGACGGGGCA
Aedes albopictus (Asian tiger mosquito) is the source of this 903-nucleotide long non-coding RNA. RefSeq lists it as uncharacterized. NCBI's taxonomy places the organism in Eukaryota, Metazoa, Arthropoda, Insecta, Diptera, Culicidae. The transcript has 3 exons. The record is from RefSeq and is a predicted model, not a curated record.